UAAUUUUAACUGUUGUAUUUAUAAAUUUAUGUAUUCGUUAUUUUCCUUCCUCUGAGGUUUAAUAUUGUUGUAAAAUAUUUGUAAUCGCGCGUUAAUAUAAUCAAAAAUAAUCUUUAUCGUCGUUGUCAUCCUCGUCGUCGUCGUCGUCAUCGUCGUCAUCGUCGUCGUCAUUAUCAUCAUCGUUGUGGUGGAAGGAAAAGGCAGAAAUAAUAUUUUGAAACGGGGUGAAAACAACAGGCUACGUUUCAUGCUGUUUGAAACUUUGUGACUGCGAACUGCAUACAACUUUGGUUAUCAAAAUCAACAUCGGUAUAUAUACUUGUUUUAAUAACUCUACGGGAAAGGAACGAAUUAAACGACGAAAAAACUUGUGUCGCGAACAAUUUUUCGAUUGGUGUGAUUUUUUGUGCUUAUGAUCAAAGUUUCGUUGGUUAUAACCGUUGGCUGUCAACUGAUUAAACAACGUUACCCUGUACUCGUGCUUUUGUCGAGUACAUACAACGUCAUACUGUAAAACGUAUGUUACAGACGAACAUUAAUAUAUACGCGUGAAUAACUGUAAAUCUUAUCUACAUUAUUAUUCUUAUUUCAUUCUCUACGGUUUUAAUCACAAGUUAUAAAGUAUCGCGAAAAAGGUGAUAAUACGCUACUUGGUCGAUGAUAAAACCGAAGAAACAGUCGACAGAUCGAGGACAAAUUCACCGGCGCUAGCCAGUUUCGGAAUUGAUCAUAAAGAAACUGAUACAAGAAGAGUAAAAAAAAAAAAAAAAAAAAAAAUCUGAGAAAAGUGGAAGACCAGCACCAUCAAGAAUAUAAAUACGCACGUGCGUGUAGUAUAAACAAACGAACGAAAGGAAGAGAGAAAAACAAAAACAAAAAAAAAAAAAAUAAAGUAAAACAAAAUAAAAUAAUAAAAAACAACAACAACAACAAUAACGGCAUAAAGUAACGAAAAUAUAAUGCUGCUGUAAUUAUAAAAGAUAAAAUUUGUUGCGGCAACGUCGAUGAGAGCGCGCUGAGCGUGGAACUCGUGAUAGCGUUGCGAGGCGGCGAGCAGCCGUUGGAGUAACCAACUCGUGGUACUGAGUCGGCGUCAUCGAUGACUUGAGGAGCAGCGGUGAGGAGCGGAGCGAAGGAGGCGGCAUUCGUUCGCCGGAAUCGUUGCUCGAGUCUCGAGUCUCGAGCCCAAGUCUUCGCGGCGUCAUACCGGUAGAAAACUGGUGCCUGUGGUAGCAACAGCAACAGCAACAGCAACAGCGAAACAACGGAGGUGUUUGUAAUCAGUCUGGUUUUUGGUUUGAAUCGGUGCGAUGAGCAGAAUCACGUGAACAAUCACACCCUGAGUGCAUCGCUCGACGAGUGUCGCGUGUAUAAUUUUGCGCUUCGAUUGUUGUUGUUCCUCAGUCCCGUUGGUUUUCUUCGAAUAAUUGUGACUUUCGCAAUCGUUGCACGUUUUUAAAAAAACUGAGGUUAAAGCAACCGAAGGGGAUAUUCCGAUUCCACUUCUACUUCCACUUGUAUGUUCUUCACUUCUUCAUCGUGUGCAUAACUCGUAGGAGAACAACAAAGGCUCAGUGGUUCUUGAUACGUGAAAGAAGAAAUAUACACACAUAGAAGAAAGGCAGAAAGAAAGAUCGAAAAGGAGAUAG
Diprion similis is the source of this 1649-nucleotide long non-coding RNA. RefSeq lists it as uncharacterized. The transcript has 3 exons. Lineage: Eukaryota; Metazoa; Arthropoda; Insecta; Hymenoptera; Diprionidae. The record is from RefSeq and is a predicted model, not a curated record.